UACAGAGGGGGCAAGCGUUGUUCGGAAUUACUGGGCGUAAAGGGCGCGUAGGCGGCCUGUUAAGUCGAACGUGAAAUCCCCGGGCUCAACCCGGGAACUGCGUCCGAUACUGGCAGGCUUGAAUCCGGGAGAGGGAUGUGGAAUUCCAGGUGUAGCGGUGAAAUGCGUAGAUAUCUGGAGGAACACCGGUGGCGAAGGCGGCAUCCUGGACCGAUACUGACGCUGAGGAGCGAAAGCCAGGGGAGCAAACGGG
Molecule: ribosomal RNA, 253 nt
Filed under: uncultured bacterium
Lineage: Bacteria
Description: partial 16S ribosomal RNA
Rfam family: Bacterial small subunit ribosomal RNA
Source: RNAcentral